Long non-coding RNA from Polypterus senegalus (gray bichir), 192 nucleotides. RefSeq lists it as uncharacterized. The transcript is spliced from 3 exons. The record is from RefSeq and is a predicted model, not a curated record. Lineage: Eukaryota; Metazoa; Chordata; Cladistia; Polypteriformes; Polypteridae.
CAGAAGUAGAAGAAGACACACCGGGACUGAUGAUAUGCUACCAUGUUGUCAUGCAAGGACAAUUGAAUGCAUGCGAUCUGCUACAUCACUACUGUAAUGGUAUAAAAGCCAGCAUCGUUCAUUCCUAGUUGUCCAAGAUUGCAGCAAACGUUUCAGAAGACUUGAUGUACACUGAUGCAGCUAUUGACCAGG